Molecule: long non-coding RNA, 3075 nt
Filed under: Ricinus communis (castor bean)
Lineage: Eukaryota; Viridiplantae; Streptophyta; Magnoliopsida; Malpighiales; Euphorbiaceae
Description: long non-coding RNA (RCOM_LNC003104)
Source: RNAcentral
UUUUUAUCUACACUUAGCAUAUCUAUCACACUUAAUGAGAAAAUAUCACGUAUAUAUAAAUAUUUUAAAUUUUUAAUAUCAGAUAAUACUUUUAUUUUCUUACUUAAAAUUAAUAAAUAUAUAUUAAUUAUUUAUCAAUUUAAUAUAUAAAUAUAUAUAUUAAAUCUAUGCAGAAAAGUUUUAUUUUCUUAAUUAUCUUUUUAUCAUAAUUACUACUGUUUUAUUCUUGCAUAAUCUAUCAUUUUGUUCUUGCAUAAUAGAUUUUAGACCGACGAAAGAUCUAAAUAAUUAUUUACAAAUCAAUUAGAAAUUUAAAACAUAAAUACCAUAAAUUAACUGAAUUACAAACAACAUAAAAUUAGUUCACCAAUCGAUUUAUAAUAUAAACUUAUUUUUCAAAUCAAACGUUGGUCAAUAUGAUAUACAAGAUCAAUAGUAAAAUCAGUUGAGUAUAAUGAUCUUACCUGAUUUUUCUUCUUCAACUGAUAUUAAAUGUAUGCUUUACUCAACACCGGAACAUGAACCGGUUUAUUCAAAUCAUUCAACAUAACCCAAUAGCAUAUAAAUGAAAUAAUAAAUGUAUCAUCUAGCUUAACUAAAGUCUCGAAUUCGAAUAUUGAAUAUGCAGCUGUGUUAAAACUCUUAAAAGAGUACCACCCGUAAAAAUCUAUUCAACAUGCUCUAAAUUAACUCUCUCUCUAUAUAUAUACCCAAAAAGAAAAAUCAUUCAGCACAUCUUGAAAGUGCCAUACCUAUUUUCUCCUUCUACAGUUACUCUUUCUAUACAUUGAAAAUCUCAUAGUCCCCCAUAAAAACACAUAACUACCACAAUCUUGGCAUUACGCCUUGGGUAUUUGGAUACAUCCUGAUUGUGAUUAUCACCUACUUGUAAUUUUUCAAGUACUACUUAGUACUUAUGUCUUCACUCGCUUAGUCUCUAAUCUAUCCUAUUACUAUUCGAUUAAGGGAUAUUAAUCCUCUUCCUUGCUCUUAAUCCACUAAUCAAAUCCAACAAAUCUAGAUAACAAGUAAGAGAUAUUCCGCUUCAAUGAUUAUUUAACUGGAAAAUACUGGUUAAUUGAACCAACGCUAGUCACUUCAUUAGAGCAAAAUAUUUACCUUUACUCAGUAUCCCUGCGUCUAUAUUUGACUACUGUGAUUAGUACAUAAAAAAGUUAAACUACUUCAAAAAUAUUUUCUUCAUUUUGAAAAUAAGUGUCAUUUUAAAUCAUUUGUUUUAUUUUAAAGUAAAUACAUUUUAACAAGUCAAUAAAAUAUUGUUAUUAUUAUUUUUUUUUUCUAAUUUUACUCUUAUUUACUGUGUAGGAGAAUAUUAACAGACUAGGAAAGAGAAAAAAAAAUAAUAAAAGAGAUUAUAAUUUUAAAUAUUUUAAAUGUCAAACCACUAAACUAAAAUUUUAAUUUCAAUGAAGUAUUUUUCCUAUAUAAAAAUAAAACGGUCAAAGUGAAUGAGAAUUAUUCAUAUAUCUAAAUUUUCACUAAUUACUAUAUUAUUCAUGAUGUGCAUUAACUAUAACAUCAGUCAUUUCAAGAAAGAAAAGUUUGAUCUCGGUCAUAUCGCAACACUUCACUAUUCAUUUUUGUUUAAGUAAUGUUUUUAUUUUUGAAUUAGACUAUAUAUAUAUACAAGACUUUCUACAGGAAUUAUUAUUUUUCUGAUCAUUCAUCUCAUUGGAUCAAACCCUAAGUUGCUAUAAUAUACAAAAGUUGAUAUGUUAUACUAUUACUUUUUUAAUCUUAGAUUUUUAUUAGAAAUAUAAAUAGAGUUAUGGGUUUUAUUUGGCUUUUUCAGCAAUAUCAUUUAAUUUACAGUUACCUUUUCAAGAUCUGCUAAAAGAAUGAUUGGAGUAAAAUGGAAGCUUACUUCAGUUCAUGAAUGAAGUCUCUGUAAAAGUAAAUUGAGUUGGGUAAUUUUGCUAUUUUUUGGGAGUGAGUAUCAAGCAUAUACAUAGACGAAGGCGGAAAGAGACAGGAUAGCAACCCCUACGUGAGUUUCCAUCAAAAACGACAAGUCGAGUCAAACAGUCAGCGAAUCCGCCAGCCUGGCCAUUCUUUUGUGCUGCCACUAUCAUCUCCUUCGUCCACCGGCAGAAUCUAAACAUUCCAUAAGAAUUUUUUUAUAAUAAUAACAAUAAUAAUGCUACAAGUAUUACAGUUGAUUUUUUUUAUAAUUAAUAUAUUUAAAUAAAUAAAAAAUUAUAAAUAUCAGAAUUAUUAAUUUAUUAAAUUUAAUUAUUAAAAAAAGUUAUUAAGUUAUUUUUAAAAUUUUAUUAUUUUAUUAAAUAUUAAAUAUAAAAGAGUUGAUUGUAUAUAUAUUUAGAUAAAAGACUAAAUUUUGAACUUUUUUUAAAUUAUUUAAAAUCAAGAAAUGUAUAUGCUAUGUAUUUUUGAAAUAUUUUGAUAAAAAACUAGUUUGAUAUUAUAUUCUGGAAAAAGUAUUAAUGAAUUAAUAAUUUUAUUUAAUUAAUAAAUCUUUAAAGAACUGAUUUCAUUUAUUUUUAAAUAAUUGAAUCUAAUAAAUUAAUAUAAUAUUAUUUAAUCCAUAAAAUAUUUAAUUGUAAGAAAGUCGACUAUAUAAUAAAGUAUUAAAUUAUGAAUAUUUUGAGAAAAAUGAAAACGAACCGAGAUGCAUGUAUCUAAUUUGAUCGUGAAUGCACCAAAGUAUGGUGACUGGUCGCUUGUGAAUGGUUGAAUGCUGUCAAGCUACUGAGUAAUCGUGUUUAAUGGCUGUGAUCUAAUUCUUUUUCUGUGUGUUGGUUUUAUAUCGGAAAUGAAAUAUAAUAUAAAUUAAAACACGGAAAAGUAGAUGAACAUUCACAAUCUUUCGCUUUCUGGUCUAUUCAUCCUUGUAUAUGAGAAAGUGCUAUCAUCUGUAGGGUUCAAUUUUUUUGUGCAUUUGUUCUAUUCUUAAUUGGCCAUCUAGCUAUUGUCAACUAGAAAUAUGCUUACUCUAAAUAUCCAAAUCUAAUGAUUUCGGACACUCCCUAAUGUUAUAUUUGAUUAAAUUUUAUAAAAAAAUUUAUUUUAUUUAAAAAAACACGAGAAAAAAUAAAA